RNAcentral lists this ribosomal RNA (501 nucleotides) under uncultured bacterium. RNAcentral describes it as "partial 16S ribosomal RNA". It matches the Rfam family "Bacterial small subunit ribosomal RNA", at positions 29 to 507 of the family's 1533-position model. The record is from RNAcentral.
ACGAACGCUGGCGGCGUGCCUAAUCCAUGCAAGUCGAACGAACCGCGACUAAGUGCUUGCACUAAGUCAAGGUGAGUGGCGAACGGGUGAGUAACACGUGGGUAACCUACCUCAUAGUGGGGGAUAACAGUCGGAAACGACUGCUAAUACCGCAUAGGACAUAGGAUCACAUGAUCCAGUGAGGAAAGGUGGCGCAAGCUAUCGCUAAGAGAUGGACCCGCGGUGCAUUAGCUAGUUGGUAGGGUAAAGGCCUACCAAGGCGAUGAUGCAUAGCCGACCUGAGAGGGUGAUCGGCCACAUUGGGACUGAGACACGGCCCAAACUCCUACGGGAGGCAGCAGUAGGGAAUCUUCCGCAAUGGACGCAAGUCUGACGGAGCAACGCCGCGUGAGUGAAGAAGGUCUUCGGAUCGUAAAGCUCUGUUGUUAGAGAAGAACAGCGCAUAGAGUAACUGCUAUGCGUGUGACGGUAUCUAACCAGAAAGCCACGGCUAACUACGUG